Molecule: ribosomal RNA, 482 nt
Filed under: uncultured bacterium
Lineage: Bacteria
Description: partial 16S ribosomal RNA
Rfam family: Bacterial small subunit ribosomal RNA
Source: RNAcentral
GAUGAACGCUAGCGGCAGGCCUAAUACAUGCAAGUCGGACGGGAUUCAGGAGCUUGCUUCUGAUGAGAGUGGCGCACGGGUGCGUAACACGUAUGUAACCUACCUUUAUCAGGGGGAUAGCCUCUCGAAAGAGAGAUUAAGCCCGCAUAAAAUCACAGCACAGCAUUGUGUAAUGAUCAAAUAUUUAUAGGAUAAAGAUGGGCAUGCGGAACAUUAGCUAGAUGGCGGGGUAACGGCCCACCAUGGCGACGAUGUUUAGGGGAUCUGAGAGGAUGGCCACCCACACUGGUACUGAGACACGGACCAGACUCCUACGGGAGGCAGCAGUAAGGAAUAUUGGUCAAUGGGCGGAAGCCUGAACCAGCCAUGCCGCGUGCAGGAAGACGGCCCUACGGGUUGUAAACUGCUUUUAUACGGGAAUAAACCCAGAUACGUGUAUCUGGCUGAAUGUACUGUAAGAAUAAGGAUCGGCUAACUCCGUG